AUGGCAUAGAUUAGACACAUGACUAACGUAAACAAAUGAAUUGGACCAUCUGCAUUUUUGCGUGUUUGUCUGUCCAGCUGGGAAAAGUAGGGAGACAAUAAUUAAGUUCACGUUUGAGACCAAUGCUGACAUGACAAUGGCGGACCACAAGGCCCAAAUCUUAGAUCAGUUACAUGAGGUUCUGCUGUCCCAGGGAUUGACCGACAUCAACCUGAGCUGGAUGCAGGAGCCACAGCCCAUCCCCGUCAGCAAUGACAGUAUGCCACUGGGGGAUCUCACCUGUGCUCAUAUCAACUAGUACUUAUCAUGCAAACCAUGAAUUACUAAAAAAAUAUUCGGUAUCACUUCAUAAUAAGCUGCCAUAAUAAAUAGAAAACUAGUCAUUACCUAACCCUUUGUUAAAGGUCGGGUAUGGAAUUCUCUUUUUUGGCCAUUUUUGCAAGAUUACUUGAAAUCCUUAUCAUAACCCACUUACAGCCACUGAGUUAGAAGUACUGACAUGAAAAUUAAACAAGUCAAUCAUCUGUGGAACGGGCAGGGCUCGAAAAACUCCAGCCAAUGAUUUCCAGAAACACCGAGUGGCAUUGGACAAUAAGUACGUCAAUCAAACGGUCGUACUGCACUCCCCCUCCCCCCACCCAGAGCAAGCUUCUGUUUGUUGUUAUCCUGCGGUAGCUACUGGAGCUAGCUAACUAGCUAAACCACCUUUGGACCUAGCACUAGAAGAAAACCCUAAACUCCAACCUAGCUAGCCUGGCUCGCUCUCGCGCAUGAUUGCAUGUCCAUGUACUUGGAAUGGGUGGAGUCAGAGUCAGCGUUGAAGGAGAGGGGGUAGGACCAUUCGAGUUGUGUGUUUUCAAAAUCUGCUGGCGUUUCGCAAAUCCCAUACCCAACCUUUAAUAUUUGUGAAUUGUUACUAAAAUACCUAUUUGGCACAAGUUAACAGUUUUUUCAUCAUUAAUUAAAUAUAAGUUGGUUGCAUAACCCUAACCGAACCCUAACACACGAUCCUAACCCUUACCCUAACCCUAACACACAGCCCAAACCCUAACACACAGCCCUUAACCCUAACCCUAGCAAUAACACACAGCCCUAACCCUAACACACGACCCUAACCCUAGCCCUAACGAGCGACACUCAAAUAUUAACAAAGGGUUACGUAAUGACUAGUUUGGUAUUUAUUAUGGCACCUUAUUAUAAAGUGUUACCAAAUAUUCUAAUCGAAAUAGAUGCAGUUAUAUGUUUAGUAAUCAGUUUUGUGAUGUUAUUGAGAGACUAAAAUAGGUUUGUUCAUCAGCGUUUAGUGGCUGAGCCGGGUAGGCAACGUUCCCCCCAAGUUGAAGUUACCCCAAAACUGAAAGGGACAUUUAAAGCAGCAUAGUGUUGGUGGAGUAUAAAAAAAAUGAAGUCUCAAUUGCAGCGUAUGCCGUUUGAGUCGAGAGAGUAGGAUAUUGGAUUUUAAACAGGUAUCCAGGCUCUAAUCACAAUGCAACAGAUGUGUUGCAACAAAUGUGUUGCUGGGACUGUGGUCAUUGUUACGAUAACCUUGUGUCUAGCAGUUCUACACAAUAGGGGAAUAACAAAGAGCCCUGAACAGAACAAAAGCCUAACUAAAACCCUUCACCUGGAUACGUCUCUAUUUUCAUAACUUCCUAACAUAUAACAAAAAUCACAGUUUAAAAGUGUAAGUAGUUGCUAACAAACGGCCAGUGUCAAUUUGUGGAAACUACCACUGACCACUGAGUACUAGCUGAGAUUUUGACCAUUUAUUUGAUUCAAAUAUAUUGGUAUUUCUUGCAUCCCUAGCUGCCACUCAUUAACGCAUGUUGCCUCAGUGCUUUAAAUACAUGAUUUUAAUACAUUUCAAAUCAACUUGUAUGACCAACCUCUUCCGAAAACAUCUCGCAAAAUGAUGAGUAAUAUUGUUGAAUUGUCCUUUUUAAGCUUGUGUUGAAUGUAGAACGCAUUUGGUGUUAUUAUUUCUGAUGUCUCUGUGAACUACCAUUUUUUGCACUAGCACUAAAAAUAAAAUGUUUACUAGCACUUGUGUUUUGAUUACCAUAUAUCCUUCUUUUUAGAAACUAGGUAAUGCAGCACAUUCUUUUGCAUUACUUUCAUGUGCUAUUUCAACAUGAUGUUUUGCUUUGAUGGUUCUGAUUGAUGGUGUGUUUAACAAACAUUGCAAAACUUGGUUUUCUGACUCAUUGUUCAACAGACCAUGUCCAGGGAACUCUGUUGUUAUGGACAAAACCUUUUGGUUAUCUUCUUCAUUCUCAAUCAGGGCUAGGUCAGUGUAAAUGCAAUCGCUAUCUAGUUUGAACUUUGCAUGUAACAGGUAAUCACUUUCUCAUAUCUUUGAAUG
Molecule: long non-coding RNA, 2362 nt
Filed under: Gadus morhua (Atlantic cod)
Lineage: Eukaryota; Metazoa; Chordata; Actinopteri; Gadiformes; Gadidae
Description: lncRNA (ENSGMOG00000025819.1)
Source: RNAcentral